Molecule: unclassified non-coding RNA, 421 nt
Filed under: soil metagenome
Description: partial contains 5.8S ribosomal RNA, internal transcribed spacer 2, and large subunit ribosomal RNA
Rfam family: 5.8S ribosomal RNA (bases 1-120)
Source: RNAcentral
GAUGAAGAACGUAGCGAAAUGCGAUACGUAAUGUGAAUUGCAGAAUUCAGUGAAUCAUCGAAUCUUUGAACGCAUAUUGCGCUCUUUGGUAUUCCGAAGAGCAUGCUUGUUUGAGUAUCAGUAAACACCUCAACCUCUUCUUGAUUUUUCAAAAGGAGGGUGGACUUGAGCUAUCCCAACAACCUUUACCGGUCGGCGGGCGGCUUGAAAUGCAGGUGCAGCUGGACUUUUAUCUGAGCUAAAAGCAUAUCUAUUUAGUCCUCGUCAAACAGGAUUAUUACUUUUGCUGCAGCUAACAUAAAGGAUAAUUGUCCUCUUUGCUGACUGAUGCAGGAGUUUACGACACUUUAUGUGUUGUUCAACUCGAUCUCAAAUCAAGUAAGACUACCCGCUGAACUUAAGCAUAUCAAUAAGCGGAGGA